CAGGAGGAGCACAACCCGUUUACCCAUGGCUUCAACGUAAUAAUGGAAACUCCAGGACAAAUUUUUUUGAUUCGGCAAACAUUCGUGCAAAGAAAAAUUUGGGAAGACGGAGGAUGUGCCAGAUACAUCCAACGAAUUGCGCAAACCAAUGGCAAGAUGAUGUGUUCGGACGAAAGCGACAAGCCAUCGUAAGGAAACGAAUAUCUGAUUUAAUUCGGCUCCCAGCAGCCAACGACCAUGACUGAUGUUUUACCUACGAAUCUGCCUUGGUUUUAUUUCUAUUUAUUUCUGGGACACUAUUGGGACACCUCCGCAGUUGAUAUCUUUCUUCAAGUUUCUUUACAAGCCAGCCGACCGCAUUUGCAUUGUCACCAUGGAAACAGCACUCACACGUCACGUGACUUCAACCAUUUUUCACGGCGCCACCGAUUAUGACCGUUGUCACAUGACUGCGUAACGGGAAUCAUUGUCUGACCUUUCAAAUAAGCCUAAUGGUUCAGUGUCGGAAUCUUCGGGGGGGGGGGAGGGACAGGGGGCACAUCC
Long non-coding RNA from Strongylocentrotus purpuratus (purple sea urchin), 543 nucleotides. RefSeq lists it as uncharacterized. The record is from RefSeq and is a predicted model, not a curated record. The transcript is spliced from 10 exons. Lineage: Eukaryota; Metazoa; Echinodermata; Echinoidea; Camarodonta; Strongylocentrotidae.